This 549-nucleotide ribosomal RNA is filed under the name uncultured bacterium. RNAcentral's name for it is "partial 16S ribosomal RNA". It matches the Rfam family "Bacterial small subunit ribosomal RNA", at positions 355 to 895 of the family's 1533-position model. The record is from RNAcentral.
UGGGGAAUUUUGGACAAUGGGCGAAAGCCUGAUCCAGCAAUGCCGCGUGUGUGAAGAAGGCCUUCGGGUUGUAAAGCACUUUUGUCCGGAAAGAAAUCCUUGGCUCUAAUACAGUCGGGGGAUGACGGUACCGGAAGAAUAAGCACCGGCUAACUACGUGCCAGCAGCCGCGGUAAUACGUAGGGUGCAAGCGUUAAUCGGAAUUACUGGGCGUAAAGCGUGCGCAGGCGGUUUGCUAAGACCGAUGUGAAAUCCCCGGGCUCAACCUGGGAACUGCAUUGGUGACUGGCAGGCUAGAGUAUGGCAGAGGGGGGUAGAAUUCCACGUGUAGCAGUGAAACGCGUAGAGAUGUGGAGGAAUACCGAUGGCGAAGGCAGCCCCCCUGGGCCAAUACUGACGCUCAUGCACGAAAGCGUGGGGAGCAAACAGGAUUAGAUACCCCUGGUAGUCCACGCCCUAAACGAUGUCAACUAGUUGUUGGGGAUUCAUUUCCUUAGUAACGUAGCUAACGCGUGAAGUUGACCGCCUGGGGAGUACGGUCGCAAGAUU